Molecule: long non-coding RNA, 2340 nt
Organism: Cairina moschata (Muscovy duck)
Lineage: Eukaryota; Metazoa; Chordata; Aves; Anseriformes; Anatidae
Source: Ensembl
GAUGACACUGGCAUAUUAGACCCGAUUCUUCCGAAUUGCAGGGGGCAUGGAUUUCGGCUUCAGAGUUAGUAUUUUCGUUUAAGAAAGGGAGGGAGGGAAUUCACCCAAAUCAAAUCAACUUAAAAAAAUAAAAAGGGGGAGAAAAAAAGGGGGGGGAGAAAAACAAAAACAAAAAACAAACAAACAAAAAAACCACCAAACCAACCAAACAAAAACCACCACCAACAGAAGUGGUGCGAGGAGGGGGAAGGCGAUCUCUGAGCCGCAAGCCCAGCAGGCAGAGCUGAUCGGGAGAAGGCAGUCCUGCUCUGCCCCUGCACUAUCUAGAGCUUCGAAACCGAGACUGAGAGACCUACACGAGCCACGGUCCUCUGCCUGCAGCCGGGAUCGGAUCUUCUCCUCGCCGGGGAGCAAAGAGCACCGGCUUCCCCUCACCGAGGGAUUUCUUCUCCUCGAGCCUUCCCCGUCCAAAACCAAUAAUAAGAAAAUAUCAAAAGCAGAGCGGCCGCGCGAGAAAUCAUAGGGCUAGGCGGGCUGGACCGUUUUCGGACGCUAUUUUUGUCUCUUAAAAAAAAAAAAAAAAAAAAAAAAAAAAAAAAAGGAAAAAAAAAAAAAAAAGUAGAGAGAGAGAAAGAAAAGCCCGCGCUGCUCGUUUAUAAGACAAGCUCUGGUCCCGGUGCGGGGGAGCCGGGAGGGCAGCCCCCGGCUAAACGCGAGCCGCAGCGGCCGGAGAAGGAGCCGCUGGCCGCAGCUCUGGCAGAUCGCAGGCUCGCAUUUCCCUCCCGGCCAGGGCAGCUCUCGGCGGCGGGAGGGCCCCUGCCCCUGCCCCUUCCCGGCCCCGGGGGGCGGCUUCAGCGGCGGGGGGCGGCGGGCUGCCCGCGGGGCUGGGGGCGCGGGGGGCGCCCGGCUCCGAGCGCGGCUCUCAUGCGGAGCCGCCCGGGGGGCUCCGUGCUCCUCGGGACCUGCGCCCGCUGCGGCGUCGCCUCUGUCUUCCCAAACAAGUCCGAGCGCUGGCAAAGGCUGCCGGUGGAUUUCUUUGCUUAGUUGUCUCGGUUUUUCUCCUCUUUCAAGAAUUUGCAAAAUCGGGGUUUGGUUUUCUUUCUGGUUUUGUUUUCUUUCUUUUUUUUCUUCUUCUUUUUUUUUUUUUUUUCUUUUUAAAAAUUGUCACGUUAUUUAAAGAGCUGGUGCAAAGCGCUGGCUCUUUCGCACACGCAUGCCUUUCCGAGGAAGAAGGAGGGUUCGCUACGGUCACCUCCCGUGAGGAGCAGCGAUCCUCACCAUGCGGCCAGGCUCCAAGGGGCAGAAGGAGCUCUGAAGUGGACCCCUCGGUUUAAUUCUUUCGCAAAGGCUUGAAGAAAGCCAGGAGAGCCUCAAGAGGGGAGGGGAUAAUGUAUCCGUGACGUGUCCUCCCUCGCAGCGCCCUCCGAGGAACCCAAAUACAGAGGAGCCAGAAAAGAGCCGCAAUUAGCACUUGCGAGGGGACGGGAGGCCGGCCCGGGGGGAGCCGGGGGCGGGGGGCGUUUGCUCGCCCCCACCUCCCCGAGCGGCCCCCUGGCCCCAGACCCUACCGCCGGGGGGGGCCCUCGCCGCCCUCCCCACGCGGGAGCGGGGCCGCGCACGGGCACGCGUGGGGACCGCGACACUCGCGGAGCCUCGUUUACCCAGGCAGUGCUGUUUAUCCACCGGGUGAAAGGAGGAAAACGCACGUACCUAAGUGCACAUGAAUCAUAUAUGUAGCAUGUACGCGACAUACAUACAUCAUAUACACAGGGCACACGUUGCACUCUCAGCCCCCGACGUGACUCCCACCCGCUUGCCCACGCUUAGGGCUUCACCCAGCUGCCGCCUGCCUUCCCCGGCGACCUGUAGGACCCCCACCCCGAUCCCCCCGCGGGGAAUGGACCCCUUUGGGUGGCUGUGGGCCCGCAACGAACCGCGGGGAGGGACUCAGACGGGCCGCCGAGGGGAUUCCCCUGGUCCCAGCCCGACGGGAGCCCGGUGACCCCAGCCUCACAUCCCUACCCCUCGCAGCCCCCCGGGGAAGAGGCACCCAGGGAUCCUUGCAAAAUUGAGGGGAAAGCCCCCGGUGCCAACAACCUGGCCGAGUUUGCCCCUUUGGGGAUGGGAAAUGGGGGGCAAAGCCCGGGCACAUCCGCCAGGCCGCCCCGACGCCCUUUGCCCAGCACAGCCCCCUUGCCACGCGUGUACCCCGGGGUUUGGCAGCCGGGGAGAGCUGAGGAGAUGAGGGAAAGGUUUUCUGCCCCGCUGCCCCUCCAGGGAGGGAGUAGGCUAGAGUUGGCUUUCGGGCCGAGAAAACUUCAGAAAAAAAAAAAAAAAAAA